GCGGGGUGGAGCAGUCUGGUAGCUCGUCGGGCUCAUAACCCGAAGGUCGUUGGUUCAAA
This 59-nucleotide transfer RNA is filed under the name Acinetobacter baumannii PR07. Its description in RNAcentral is "tRNA-Met". It matches the Rfam family "tRNA", at positions 2 to 57 of the family's 71-position model. Rfam says of the family: Transfer RNA (tRNA) molecules are approximately 80 nucleotides in length. Their secondary structure includes four short double-helical elements and three loops (D, anti-codon, and T loops). Lineage: Bacteria; Pseudomonadati; Pseudomonadota; Gammaproteobacteria; Moraxellales; Moraxellaceae. The record is from RNAcentral.